AUUGAACGCUGGCGGCAGGCCUAACACAUGCAAGUCGAACGGUAGCACAGAGAGCUUGCUCUCGGGUGACGAGUGGCGGACGGGUGAGUAAUGUCUGGGAAACUGCCCGAUGGAGGGGGAUAACUACUGGAAACGGUAGCUAAUACCGCAUAACGUCGCAAGACCAAAGUGGGGGACCUUCGGGCCUCACACCAUCGGAUGUGCCCAGAUGGGAUUAGCUAGUAGGUGGGGUAAUGGCUCACCUAGGGGACGAUCCCUAGCUGGUCUGAGAGGAUGACCAGCCACACUGGAACAGAGACACGGUCCAGACUCCUACGGGAGGCAGCAGUGGGGAAUAUUGCACAAUGGGCGCAAGCCUGAUGCAGCCAUGCCGCGUGUAUGAAGAAGGCCUUCGGGUUGUAAAGUACUUUCAGCGGGGAGGAAGGCGGUGAAGUUAAUAACUUCACCGAUUGACGUUACCCGCAGAAGAAGCACCGGCUAACUCCGUGCCAGCCGCCGCCGUAA
Molecule: ribosomal RNA, 504 nt
Filed under: uncultured bacterium
Lineage: Bacteria
Description: partial 16S ribosomal RNA
Rfam family: Bacterial small subunit ribosomal RNA
Source: RNAcentral